Molecule: long non-coding RNA, 2143 nt
Organism: Nematostella vectensis (starlet sea anemone)
Lineage: Eukaryota; Metazoa; Cnidaria; Anthozoa; Actiniaria; Edwardsiidae
Exons: 2
Source: RefSeq, a predicted model, not a curated record
GCCGUCGAGCGCGACAUUUAGUUAAAAACGCCUGCGAUCACAGUGUCCUGCGGAGUUGCCCAUUGCAUAGCAACGAUCAGUUAGCAACGCUCGCGUCGUCUUUGUCUUACAGCUAAGCCGAUCGCGUCCUUUGUUUUUAAACCAAUGAAAUCCCGUGUUCUUUGAGGUUUAGAGAGCUUAUUUUAUCAGAGUCCAAGCAGACAAGAUGGCGGAACCGACACAGAGCGAAGGAUGGCUUCAAUUCCUUUACAAAUUCGCGCUACGCGAGUUUGAUUUUUGGGAGCCUAACUCGUGCAGAAGUUAAAGAUGUCGUUGUACUACUUGUACUUCAGUUCGAUUUGUGGAUUUUUGGAAGUUUUCCCGUGGUAGAGGGUGCCCAAUUCUACGAGUUGGAUGGCUGUAUGAACGCCUGGCACGCCGACGCGACGCAGGGUGGAUCGAGCUGAAUUCACGAUUCAACUGGUUGAGUUCAUGAUGAAUUGAUUCACCACCCUGCUCGCCGAAAAAGCCUAAAGGAAACUUCCAUUCCCGGAUGAAAUCUACUACAUGCACUUCUAACAUAUGGAACUUUGGGGGAAAGGUCUCAUCUGGAAAUGUGGCUCGGUAAAAUGCAGCGAAUUCUUUGAUGCCAUUUUCUGUGGAGAAACAAGAAACAGAAUUGUUAGACUGUUGAUUUAUAUUUUUCUCUCUUUACAAAGCUUGUGGAACUCAAAUAAUACCUAGAAUUCUGAGCUGAGCUGUAUUCAUUGGAGCACUGCUGUUAUAUAGAAAGUGGACUGAGCCAAACAAGGUGAAGAGUUCAUGGAACUUUUUUUUGACAGCCAUUGCUUCUCCACGCAAUGCUGGGCUGUGCUCUUCCACUACAUUUACCACCACACUACAGAUCUUUUCGAUAUUUUCUGUCUGAAAAUCAAAAUCAAAUCAGAUUAGUACACUUAAAAUAUAACUGUGCUGUAUCAAAAUGUACUUUACCUUUAAUGUUUGUUUCAUAUAUAAUAUUUAAUUAACAUUUAAAAAUUAUUGUUACCACUUGCACCAGAUAUUCCUAGGAACUUGCAGAGAAACUCAAAGUCACCAAAGAGAAACAAUUUGAUCUUUUUGUCACUGUAAAGCAAGCAAACAGUAAUGAGUUAUUAUUAUGAAAUUACUACAGUUAUCACUACAAAUUAUCUUACCGCCAUUGCAAUGAUUCCAAGUCCCCAAGCUGUUCUUUGUAUCUUUGUGUUGCUGCUCUCAGGUUGUUCCUGGUGUCCUUUGCCUCGAACACACAGAAAACUACUGUCUUUUUGCUAGAGUUUGGCUUAUCCACAUUGGCUAAUUGAAAGGCGAAUUUCAUAUUGCCUUGCCCAUGGUCACCCCCUAGCUUCAAAAAGACAGAGUUUUCUGGUAUGUUGCCACCGUGCCAUGUUAGAAGGCCAGCACUAAAACAGAAUACCAAUGGAUAAGUCUAUGCAUGAUCACACAGUUGAAGGGGGUUGACGGACCCUCCUUUUUAUUACACCCACCUGUUAUUGUCAUCAAUGUAUUUUAUGAUGUGUCCCUUUAGAUCAUCCACAUACGCACACGGUGUCUGUUUGAUGACAGUGAUAUAUUUUCUCCCCUCUCUCCUUGAGUGCUCCAUUGGGAAGUCUUCAUCAGCCAAGUUGUCUCCCACUUGUUCCUUCUUCUGUGCCCGCUGCUUUUUCUCACUUUCCAUCUGAAUGCCCCAAUUAGAAAACCAGCUGUAAAAAAAAAAAAACAUAAGAAAUUCUACAAAGCCUUUUUUAGCUUAGUGACGACUCUUACCCCCUUAGUUUGUUGAGCUUGUACCAUGUAACACCAAGAUCCGCCUUCAUGGCCAAGGAGUCUCCUUUGGGGAUUUCUAAAACGAGUUCUUUUCCAAGAACAUCCUUUAACAGUUGCUUUCGCUCCUCGGCAUUUUUCCUUUUGAGGACCUCAACUGUGUGAAGGUCCAUUUCACCUUUGCUGACUACUUCGCCGACCUGUAUAAGGGCUUUAGUCCGUCUUUGUUUCUGCCUUACACUUACAACACUGCUGGAGGCCUGUGCCUGAGGUAUUUUCAUGACCACGGUUGGCUGAAAGAGAAUAAUAAUGUAAUUUAUAAUAUUGCAAAAAAAGAAUAAAAAAUAUAGUAAGAACAAAA